Molecule: ribosomal RNA, 450 nt
Filed under: uncultured bacterium
Lineage: Bacteria
Description: partial 16S ribosomal RNA
Rfam family: Bacterial small subunit ribosomal RNA
Source: RNAcentral
GUGGGGAAUUUUGGACAAUGGGGGCAACCCUGAUCCAGCCAUUCCGCGUGAGUGAAGAAGGCCUUCGGGUUGUAAAGCUCUUUCGGCAGGAACGAAACGGUGAGCUCUAACAUAGCUCGCUAAUGACGGUACCUGAAGAAGAAGCACCGGCUAACUACGUGCCAGCAGCCGCGGUAAUACGUAGGGUGCGAGCGUUAAUCGGAAUUACUGGGCGUAAAGCGUGCGCAGGCGGUUGUGUAAGACAGGUGUGAAAUCCCCGGGCUUAACCUGGGAACUACGCUUGUGACUGCACGGCUAGAGUAUGGCAGAGGGGGGUGGAAUUCCGCGUGUAGCAGUGAAAUGCGUAGAGAUGCGGAGGAACACCGAUGGCGAAGGCAGCCUCCUGGGAUGACACUGACGCUCAUGCACGAAAGCGUGGGGAGCAAACAGGAUUAGAAACCCUUGUAGUCC